Molecule: long non-coding RNA, 281 nt
Filed under: Schizosaccharomyces pombe (fission yeast)
Lineage: Eukaryota; Fungi; Ascomycota; Schizosaccharomycetes; Schizosaccharomycetales; Schizosaccharomycetaceae
Description: centromeric lncRNA
Source: RNAcentral
ACGCCCAUUCAUCAAACGAGUCGAGAUGAGAGGAAUCAUUGUAUAAAAGGCUAGCAUGUAAAAGCUGGAAGAAGGAAAGAACACGGGAUAUGUAAUGGAACAUGGGAAAUUGAUAUGGACAUUGAUAUGGACCUUGAUAUGGACAUUGAUAUGAACAUGAAUAUGGUAUAGAGAACUACAUCGACACAGAAAAGAAAACAAAAGUUGCUAAAAUGACAAAGGUGCCGAAUCAACAGGCCAUAGUACCGAUGGAAUCCAAAUACAAUCCAAGAAUCAUUCAA